CCUCAAAUCAGGUAGGACUACCCACUGAACUUAAGCAUAUCAAUAAGUGGAGGAAAAGAAACUAACAAGGAUUCCCCUAGUAACGGCGAGUGAAGCGGGAAGAGCCCAAAUUUAAAAUCUGGCAGGCUACGCUUGUCCGAAUUGUAAUCUCGAGAAAUGUUUUCCGCGUUGGCCUGUGUACAAGUCCCUUGGAACAGGGCGUCAUAGAGGGUGAGAAUCCCGUCCUUGACACAGACACCCAAUGCUUUGUGAUACACUCUCAAUGAGUCGAGUUGUUUGGGAAUGCAGCUCAAAAUGGGUGGUAAAUUCCAUCUAAAGCUAAAUACUGGCGAGAGACCGAUAGCGAACAAGUACCGUGAGGGAAAGAUGAAAAGCACUUUGGAAAGAGAGUCAAACAGUACGUGAAAUUGUUGAAAGGGAAACGAUUGAAGUCAGUCGUGCCUGCCUAGUCUCAGCCUUUUGGUGUACUACUAGGUCGGCAGGUCAGCAUCAGUUUGGGAGGAUUAACAAGGGAGCUAGGAAUGUGGCAACCUCGGUUGUGUUAUAGCCUAGUUUCGCAUUGAUCUUGCUGGACUGAGGAACGCAGUGCGCCCGCAAGGGUUGGUCUUCGGACACAUUCGCACUUAGGAUGCUGGCAUAA
Molecule: ribosomal RNA, 640 nt
Filed under: uncultured Basidiomycota
Lineage: Eukaryota; Fungi; Basidiomycota
Description: LSU rRNA
Rfam family: Eukaryotic large subunit ribosomal RNA
Source: RNAcentral